UGGGGGUGGGGGGGGGUGCCGGCUGCCUGCUAUACUGCAGUCGAGCGAACAGACGAGGAGCUUGCUCCUCUGACGUUAGCGGCGGACGGGUGAGUAACACGUGGAUAACCUACCUAUAAGACUGGGAUAACUUCGGGAAACCGGAGCUAAUACCGGAUAACAUGUUGAACCGCAUGGUUCAACAGUGAAAGACGGUCUUGCUGUCACUUAUAGAUGGAUCCGCGCCGCAUUAGCUAGUUGGUAAGGUAACGGCUUACCAAGGCAACGAUGCGUAGCCGACCUGAGAGGGUGAUCGGCCACACUGGAACUGAGACACGGUCCAGACUCCUACGGGAGGCAGCAGUAGGGAAUCUUCCGCAAUGGGCGAAAGCCUGACGGAGCAACGCCGCGUGAGUGAAGAAGGUCUUCGGAUCGUAAAACUCUGUUAUUAGGGAAGAACAAAUGUGUAAGUAACUAUGCACGUCUUGACGGUACCUAAUCAGAAAGCCACGGCUAACUACGUGCCAGCAGCCGCGGUAAUACGUAGGUGGCAAGCGUUAUCCGGAAUUAUUGGGCGUAAAGCGCGCGUAGGCGGUUUUUUUAAGUCUGAAUGUGAAAGCCCCACGGCUCACCCGUGGAGGGUCAUUGGAAAACUGGAAAACUUGAGUGCAGAAGAGGAAAGUGGAAUUCCAUGUGUAGCGGUGAAAUGCGCAGAGAUAUGGAGGAAACACCAGUGGCGAAGGCGACUUUCUGGUCUGUAACUGACGCUGAUGUGCGAAAGCGUGGGAUCAAAACAGGGAUUAGAUACCCUGUAGUCCACGCCGUAAACGAUGAGUGCUAAGUGUUAGGGUCUCCCGCCCCCUUAGUGCUGCAGCUAACGCAUUAAGGCACUUCCGCCUGGGGAAGUACGACCGCAAGUUUGAAACUCAAGGAAUUGACCGGGACCCGCACAAGCGGUGAGCAUUGUUGUUUUAAUUCGAAGCACCGCGAGAACCUUACCCAAUUCUGACAUCGUCUGAAUCCCCUCUAGGAGAUAAGAGUUUCCCAUCGGAGACAGAAGACAAGUUGUUGCAUGGAUGUCGUCAAGCUCGUUCAGGGAGAUGUGUUAGUCCGCAAACGAGGCUUACCAUAACGCUGAGGUGUCCACUCAUUGUGA
RNAcentral lists this ribosomal RNA (1135 nucleotides) under Staphylococcus capitis. RNAcentral's name for it is "bacterial SSU rRNA". It matches the Rfam family "Bacterial small subunit ribosomal RNA", at positions 18 to 1132 of the family's 1533-position model. Lineage: Bacteria; Bacillati; Bacillota; Bacilli; Caryophanales; Staphylococcaceae. The record is from RNAcentral.